AAUAACAUUAAAAAACUCGUUAAUGUUGUACAUUAACGAGUUUUUUUUACUAUUAUUACGUUGCUCCCACAAAAUGUGGGAGCCCGAAAUUGUGUCUACUUCUUGCAAUCCGCAACAAAUAAAUUGCACUGCGAACAAAGUAUAUCAACAAAGAAAACAUUUUUGUUUCAUAAUUUCUUCGUUAUAUUCCCUUACAAAGCUAGCUUUAACGCUUCGAGGUUUCCUUUGUUCUUGCCGUCGCCUCGGCGCUUGUCCCAGACUUUCGCUCUGUAGUUGCUUAGUACUACAAAAAAUUCUAAAUCUGUGAUAUAUGAUUGAUAAACGUAAAGUUAACUGUAUAAACGUGUUCAAUGACUUUGUUACUUUUGAUGAUUGGAGAGCACUCGCUUCAAUUCGCACACGAAAACUUUAGACUCAGUUUGAAUGCUCACGCGGCAUGCCCACGUGACUGUACGUUGCACGGUCACCUAACUUUACGUUGCACGCGUACAUGACUUUCCGUUUGUGCCUUGAAUAAUGAAUAAGGCUAUGUCCACACGUACCAGCGUAUUUUUGAAACCGCUGAUUUUUCUAUGCGUUUGCACCUUUUGUCCACACGUAAUGUAUGUCUGGCCGUACAUUGUGUUUGUAUUUCCAGGCACAUUUCACGAAGCAGAACGCAGUCUUCAGAGAUAUCCACGUGAACGCUGUGAUACUGACCUUCAGUCCGAAGAAGAAACCCAGACCAGUCUUAAAAGAAAGCACAAACCAAAUGCCCUGUACACAUAUACGGACUCAGAGGAUGAGCAGCCUACAAAAAAUGGUUUCCCC
This is a long non-coding RNA of Oreochromis aureus, 810 nucleotides long. Lineage: Eukaryota; Metazoa; Chordata; Actinopteri; Cichliformes; Cichlidae. The record is from Ensembl.